GUACCCUAUUUGUAAUUUAGAUCACUUUCAAAAUGAUCCUCACGAGCGGGCAAAUACGGGGCGGGCAAUAUCAUGAUCAUGACAGAUCAACAGACGUCAUAUCGACUUGUCACAACAUACCGAUGCGUGUUAAUAUGUUUAUUUUUUAGUUGAUUAUGUUGAAAACUUGCGAUCAUUCGACUCAUUUUACGACCACGGAUUUAGGCAGCAUUGCAUCGAUAUGUUAAGGUUGACGAUCGUCGCACAAAUUUGGGGAUGGAAGGUUGCUGCUAAAUGUCAUCUUUCUGAAGUAAAAGAGACAUGCAGCGAACCGUAUAAUGAUCCCAGAACACCAUAUUAAAAAACCUUUGCAGCGAAAGAUAAAAUAGAGCUGGCCAAUGCUCGGUGGGCAAUCCCCCCGCGAACACACCGCAUAACGAAGCACCAUGGAAGAGCCACAACGGGUUUCCUCUUCCAUCGUCGGCGGUUGCCUGUGCCGCUACGGAUUUCCAGAUUAAUUGUUGAGGUUCAUUACUGAUACGGGUGACCUGAUUCAGAUGGGUUCGUCCAUUCUCCUCUGCUCCCAUGGAUACACCAUUGCACCAGGAAUGCCGUCCGAAUAACCAAUCCAACUAAAUCAAGCCUCUCCGCGAUCAAUAAAUGAAAUUGAAGAAUUAAAAAGAACUAACAGACAAAUUGAAUAAAUAAAGAAAAAGGUUUACGAAACAAGUAUAUCACAGUGUCUUCCAUAUUCCUAAAUCACAGAUCCAAUUUUCAGCCGUUUUUAAUAUUUCGAAUUUGAAAAAUAGUUUUAUAAUUUCUUUCUGACUUUAGCAUAUUUGAAUUUUUCUAAUAGAGGAUUUAAACGAGCAUCUACUAGACACUCAACAAUUCGCAUCAUAUUUUCUUCCAACCUGUCGUCUUUGGUUCUAUAUCCGGAUGUACUAGAAUCGUAAUCCGCUUUACGAUUGUUCGGAGGGUUAUGUUUCCAGUAACAUCCGUCUAUUUCAGAUCCAGAUUCAGAACCGGGUUGGCGAAGUUUUGAUGAUGUUCCGAUUGAUGUUAAGGAUUGAGAACAGGAAUCGGGACUUGAAUUUAUCGUACUAGAAUCAUAAUUUGAAAACACUGAUUUGGGCUCAUCAUUUAAUGGUUCAUGUUGACGGUACUCGCAAGUACCAAUGAUCGGUAAGUAUCUCGUCUCUGCAUCCUUCAACAAGAUCUGAAGACCGUGCUGCAAAGCGUGCAUGAGCUUCCGAGUACUUACCAAAUCCUUCGGCGCUAGCUUUCCCUGAGCAUUCAGGUUACUCCAUGAAGUCAGCGAUGUUUGCAAAUCUGCGGCUAGCCUCUCAACUGGAUAAUUAGGAUGUGAUGAGCUAACCGGACACGGCAUCUCCGUUAACCCAUCGCAAUCAGAAUCGUCAGCGUCGUAGUCCACGGAUUGAAACACCACUGGCUCAUAUUUCACUUUGAAUCUCUUUCGCUUAACCAUGUUUGUUUUGAUUAAGCGGACUGGCUAGUAGUGACAGCUUUUAUAUGCUACAAAGAAAACAGGUGUGGGUUAAAAGUGUUGCCAUGAAAUUUGAUUUAAAAAA
This is a long non-coding RNA of Uranotaenia lowii, 1571 nucleotides long. RefSeq lists it as uncharacterized. The record is from RefSeq and is a predicted model, not a curated record. The transcript has 4 exons. Lineage: Eukaryota; Metazoa; Arthropoda; Insecta; Diptera; Culicidae.